Cebus imitator (Panamanian white-faced capuchin) is the source of this 1434-nucleotide long non-coding RNA. RefSeq lists it as uncharacterized. The transcript has 2 exons. NCBI's taxonomy places the organism in Eukaryota, Metazoa, Chordata, Mammalia, Primates, Cebidae. The record is from RefSeq and is a predicted model, not a curated record.
UGUCGGUCUCCAACUCCCUGCCUCAAGUGAUCCGUCUGUCUUGGCCCCCCAAAGUGCUGGGAUUACAGGCAUGAGCCACUGCGCCCAGCCAGAAUCUAACUUUUUGACAGUUUAAACAUACACUGAAUUAUCCGGAGACAUAAUCACUAUGUAAAUGAAGCAAUGUCUGUGCUCUGUUUUAUCUGAAAUGUCAUCAAUGAGCUGUCACCAUUUCAGAAAGAUCAAAGCAGCAAAGUCAAUGCCACUGAGGAUGUCAGAACCUCCAGUAAAACAUACCUACAAUAGUCUACAUUUGGAGCUACUGCAUUACUGGCAAUUCUGUUCAUAUGUGAGUAAAUGUAAACACACUCAGGCUUUGCUCCUCCUUCAUAAUGUCAAUUUUAAGUAAAAAGGCUGAGCAUAUUCAGCUGGAUGUUUCACUCCUUUUAAAUAAAAACACUCAGUGAGGAGGAACAAGGCAUCAGAGUGUCUGGUAUAACUCUUGGGAAUGGGACAGUAUAGUUCUUGACUCCAUAAGACUGAAAUAUGUAUUACUUUAUUAGAAAUUAUUUUCCUUUUAUUUCUCCAUCAUAUUUGAGUUAGAGAAUUAAUCCCGUUUGAAAUUACAUAGGUAGGCAAGGUUAUACAAUUUACAACUUUCAUCUCAUAUUUAUAAUAAUAGGAAAUAUUGGGUCUGGCAGUGCUGAGGCCUUUGCUUUGGAAGCCAAGCUGAUUCUCCUCUUUUCCUCAGACUCCAGUAUUCUCAGAGGGCUGGAGGAAUUAACUGGCACCCCCUCCAUCUUUCCCUUAGCCACUGUUCUUUGUAUCCUACCACACCAAGAGCAUGCAUGUGCUAUUCAAGGCAGGAAGCCCAACAAGUCCCUGGGCCCAGCAGUGAGCCUCUGCUGGCUGCAGGUUAUCUUGGUCUCUACCCAGCAGCACCCCCUCAUCCGCCUCUUCAGUUUCCCACCCUUCUAACAGGUGCUCUUUUCCUUGGCUCAGCUCUAUGGUCAGUGAUGGAAGCUACAGACUCUCUGCAGGCCCACAGAGCUCAGGAAACUUCCAUUUCUUUUUUCUCUGCACACAUUUUGGACUCAACACUUAUCAAGGAAGCCCUAGGUUGGGCCAGGUGUCCGGCUAAUCGCCUGCACAAACAUUAUGUAUCAGGUUUAUUAUGCAUCAAUGACGAUUCUGAGACUGAGAGGCAAUUACACUUCCCCCAAGACCAUACAAGCCAGAAAGAAGAAGAGCCAAUUUCAAAUCCAAGUCCUUCAACAACUUCUUAGCUUUGGACAAAAAAGAAGCAUGAAGAAUGAAAACCUUCCAUGACCUCUGCAAAAAGUAAAUUACAAAAUGAUGGCAACUGAUAGAAAACAACUAACAUAUUUUUCUUGAUAACGUCACACUGGCUGAUCUGAUCCAUGAAACAUUACAUCAUUCACUGGGCAAUGCUCA